Molecule: ribosomal RNA, 547 nt
Filed under: uncultured bacterium
Lineage: Bacteria
Description: bacterial SSU rRNA
Rfam family: Bacterial small subunit ribosomal RNA
Source: RNAcentral
UGGGGAAUAUUGCACAAUGGGCGCAAGCCUGAUGCAGCGACGCCGCGUGAGGGAUGAAGGCCUUCGGGUUGUAAACCUCUUUCGUCAGGGAACAAGGCACUGUCUUUUUGGUGGUGUUGAGGGUACCUGGAUAAGAAGCGCCGGCUAACUACGUGCCAGCAGCCGCGGUAAUACGUAGGGCGCAAGCGUUGUCCGGAAUUAUUGGGCGUAAAGAGCUCGUAGGCGGCUGGUCGCGUCUGUCGCGAAAACUUCCGGCUCAACCGGGGGCUUGCGGUGGGUACGGGCCGGCUAGAGUGCGGUAGGGGUAACUGGAACUCCUGGUGUAGCGGUGGAAUGCGCAGAUAUCAGGAAGAACACCGAUGGCGAAGGCAGGUUACUGGGCCGUUACUGACGCUGAGGAGCGAAAGCGUGGGGAGCGAACAGGAUUAGAUACCCUGGUAGUCCACGCUGUAAACGUUGGGCACUAGGUGUGAGGCUCCUUUCCGGGGGUUUUGCGCCGUAGCUAACGCAUUAAGUGCCCCGCCUGGGGAGUACGGCCGCAAGGCUA